RNAcentral lists this long non-coding RNA (544 nucleotides) under Homo sapiens (human). RNAcentral's name for it is "HSALNT0329206". The record is from RNAcentral. Lineage: Eukaryota; Metazoa; Chordata; Mammalia; Primates; Hominidae.
CGUUAACCUUCUUAAGUGGCUGAAAAGCUAAAUAUCCCUGUAGGUGAUCAGUGUGAUCCUCAGUCAUUAGUUUAGCCUCUGGCUGUUUUGAUUUCAGAGUGAUAAUAAAGAACUUAGUAAAGAAGCCACCACAGAACCAGCACAAGCUCACAGAGGAGCUUCAAAUGCCUGCCUCUGGUUAAAAUGGAUUUAUUUGCUCAGGUUAAAGGAUUUGCUACCCAGACCAGACUUGAAAGUCUAAGACAAAGACUUGACAAGGAGGAGAAACAGGAGAAGUGUCUUCCUUUGGCUUUGGUAUCAAGGUAAUGCUGGCCUCAUAAGAUAUGGGGUCUCACUAUGUUGUCCAUGCUGAUCUCAAACUCCUGGGCUCAAGCAAUCUUCCCACCUCAGCCUCCCAAAGUGCUGGGAUUACAGGAGCACAAAGGAAAGGCCAUGCGAGGACACAGGGAGAAGACAGGCCCCUACCAGUCAGGAAGGGAGCCCUCACCAGAAACUGAGCUGGCCAGCACAAUGGUCUUGGACUUGUAGCUCCAGAACUGUGAGG